GCACAGGUGGGUGAGUGGUUAAAGCCAGCAGACUGUAAAUCUGCCCCUCCUCGGAGGUACGAAGGUUCGAAUCCUUCCCUGUGCACCA
RNAcentral lists this transfer RNA (88 nucleotides) under Terriglobia bacterium. RNAcentral's name for it is "tRNA-Tyr". It matches the Rfam family "tRNA". Rfam says of the family: Transfer RNA (tRNA) molecules are approximately 80 nucleotides in length. RNAcentral also lists the same sequence under 3 other names. Lineage: Bacteria; Pseudomonadati; Acidobacteriota; Terriglobia. The record is from RNAcentral.